Molecule: long non-coding RNA, 1168 nt
Organism: Branchiostoma floridae (Florida lancelet)
Lineage: Eukaryota; Metazoa; Chordata; Leptocardii; Amphioxiformes; Branchiostomatidae
Exons: 5
Source: RefSeq, a predicted model, not a curated record
CGCUAAUUUACUAAGAACUUGCUGAAGAUGCGACUUAAGAGUGGCAGACACGUCAUGACGAUAUUGAGGAGUCAUUGGUUCGAUUCCCGGCAACAGCUGCAAGUCAGCCAAAGAGAUGCCAUAACGGGCGAGGAGGAGGUGCAAAACACAAAUAUGGCCAUCUGCAAUGACGUCACAGAAGAAUCUGUGAUCCAUUAGGCCAGGAGCGACGAAAGAGCGAAAUCCUUUUCUGUAGGGUGAUGAAUUUAGCUCGUCUCUGCAAGCUGCCUCAUCAUUCAACCCCGGACGAAGGCAGACAGUUCCACCAAGCCGCUCCUUUACAUCCUUCCUCUUUGAAUUCAAAAGUCGGUUGGGAGCAAGGUUGGCUGUGGUUGGCAGUUGGUCGGUGCAGUUGAUUACUGGUUGGCAGCACCAGCCAAAAACAUUCAGGAGUGAACGGAAGUGCUGCCGCAAAGUUGAUAAGAGCCAUGUCUGCGCAUGCUCGCCUUUGGUUCCUGCUCGCCUGUUUGUUGUUCCUGACGUCAUCCGCGGAGGCUGCAGGAACGAUGAGCGCCUUAGCGGAGACGCUGGGGUUCUUCGGCAUGUGGUACGGAGUUAUCGGGCUCAGCAUCGUCAUCAUCUUCGUCAUCGCUUUCGCCGGCUUCAUAGAAAAGUGAUCGAGCGAGACUUCGCACGAGACUUCUUACGAUACAUAACGUAACGUUCCUUGUCUCCUCGUUUUCCGCCCCUCCCCUUCCACAGCAGUUUAGUCACCAUUAGCUACUCGCAUUGCUACACACAAAGAGUUCGUUAUGGUGAUUGUAUUCCUCAAUUUAUAUGUAUGAAACUCAGCAAUACUAGUACUGGAUUGUAAUUAGGAUGAGAGAAAAUUGUCCUAUACUUCGAGAGAAGAGAAUACAUCGAUAUCGAGUACGCUGGAACACGUGGAGCAAUAGAUAUCACAAAUCUCUUGAAAGAAAUCAGAGAAGUUAAAUAGCUAUAUUUCUAGCUUCACAUAUCAUAUGAGGUGCACUGUACGGUUUGAAAGUAAGCAUCGAACAUUUAUAAAAGAAAUGUUAUGACAUAAUUCCUUUUAUAGGUCUCAAAUGUUAUUAUGUGAUUUUAUAUAACUGUCUAUAUAGUCAUCAGGUUUAGAGAUGCAAAUAAAAAAGACACUGAAGAUCCCAGA